UUGUGGGUUCUCCAAUUUAGGCUUCGACAUGACUCACGAAAUCCUACAUUACCAAAUACAAAGCAUAAAAAAAUACUGAAAGAAAGGUGCUUUGGAGUGAGAUACAGAGAAAUGGAUAAAGAAAAAUGAAAGAAAAAGAGGCGAGCCUUGGAAAGGAAGAAAUACAGAGGUGAGAGUAGUAGAAGCUGUAGCGGCCAUCAUCAGGAGCAAGAGCAACCAAACAAUUAAUUGAGUCUGCUAAAUUGGUUUCGCUGCUUUACUUAUUACUUAUGGGGAAAAGAGUUGAGUCCGAGGAUAAGUCUUUAA
RNAcentral lists this long non-coding RNA (306 nucleotides) under Nicotiana tabacum (common tobacco). Its description in RNAcentral is "long non-coding RNA (NTAB_LNC017197)". The record is from RNAcentral. Lineage: Eukaryota; Viridiplantae; Streptophyta; Magnoliopsida; Solanales; Solanaceae.